GCAAAUCCCAGCUGGGAUAGAAUCAGAAGCAGGUUUGAACUGCACAUUCACUAACAAUGUUGAUGAAUUUGAAGCAAAAGUCUGGCCCCAACCUACCUGUCCAGCCUCACUGGACAUUCCUUCCUUUCCUG
Molecule: long non-coding RNA, 131 nt
Organism: Dromiciops gliroides (monito del monte)
Lineage: Eukaryota; Metazoa; Chordata; Mammalia; Microbiotheria; Microbiotheriidae
Exons: 3
Source: RefSeq, a predicted model, not a curated record